GGAAACUAUCAAUAAGCGGAGGAAGAACCAUACCAAACUGUUGCCUCGGCGGGGUCACGCCCCGGGUGCGUCGCAGCCCCGGAACCAGGCGCCCGCCGGAGGGACCAACCAAACUCUUUUCUGUAGUCCCCUCGCGGACGUUAUUUCUUACAGCUCUGAGCAAAAAUUCAAAAUGAAUCAAAACUUUCAACAACGGAUCUCUUGGUUCUGGCAUCGAUGAAGAACGCAGCGAAAUGCGAUAAGUAAUGUGAAUUGCAGAAUUCAGUGAAUCAUCGAAUCUUUGAACGCACAUUGCGCCCGCCAGUAUUCUGGCGGGCAUGCCUGUCCGAGCGUCAUUUCAACCCUCGAACCCCUCCGGGGGGUCGGCGUUGGGGAUCGGGAACCCCUAAGACGGGAUCCCGGCCCCGAAAUACAGUGGCGGUCUCGCCGCANCCUCUCCUGCGCAGUAGUUUGCACAACUCGCACCGGGAGCGCGGNGCGUCCACGUCCGUAAAACACCCAACUUNUGAAAUGUUGACCUCGGAUCAGGUAGGAAUACCCGCUGAACUUAAGCAUAUCAAUAAGCGGGAGGA
This 572-nucleotide ribosomal RNA is filed under the name cf. Trichoderma sp. 830/LP1. RNAcentral's name for it is "eukaryotic LSU rRNA". The stretch from base 182 to 335 matches the Rfam family "5.8S ribosomal RNA". The record is from RNAcentral. Lineage: Eukaryota; Fungi; Ascomycota; Sordariomycetes; Hypocreales; Hypocreaceae.